This 441-nucleotide ribosomal RNA is filed under the name uncultured bacterium. Its description in RNAcentral is "partial 16S ribosomal RNA". It matches the Rfam family "Bacterial small subunit ribosomal RNA", at positions 338 to 795 of the family's 1533-position model. The record is from RNAcentral.
CCUACGGGAGGCAGCAGUGGGGAAUAUUGCACAAUGGGGGAAACCCUGAUGCAGCGACGCCGCGUGAGUGAAGAAGUAUUUCGGUAUGUAAAGCUCUAUCAGCAGGGAAGUAGCACGACGGUACCUGACUAAUAAGCCCCGGCUAACUACGUGCCAGCAGCCGCGGUAUUACGUAGGGGCCAAGCGUUAUCCGGAUUUACUGGGUUUAAAGGGAGCGUAGACGGUAUGGCAAGUCUGAAGUGAAAGCCCAGGGCUUAACCCUGGGACUGCUUUGGAAACUGUUAGACUAGAGUGCAGGAGAGGUAAGUGGAAUUCCUAGUGUAGCGGUGAAAUGCGUAGAUAUUAGGAGGAACACCAGUGGCGAAGGCGGCUUACUGGACAGUAACUGACGUUGAGGCUCGAAAGCGUGGGGAGCAAACAGGAUUAGAUACCCUAGUAGUC